ACGCUUGAUGGUAAAACUAUAUUAAUUUCACCAUAAUUACCAUAAAAAACAAUCAAAAAGAAGAUUAUGGUAUAUC
This 76-nucleotide small RNA is filed under the name unclassified sequences. RNAcentral describes it as "dfrA-dnaX RNA". It matches the Rfam family "dfrA-dnaX RNA". The record is from Rfam by way of RNAcentral.